CUAUGGGGUGGUGUGGUUAGCUCAUGAGGGGAACUCUUACCACAGACAAGCAGCUUCUCUAGGGGCUUCUGAGAGAGCAGAAAUAUUGCACUUCGAGUGAAGUGUCAUAGAGAGGGAAGCAAAUGGUUCCAUGGAACAACCUCCUUGAGCAGGGUGAGCCCUGCCUCCAACUUCGGGUGCUGAAAUCGGUGGAAAGUCCCUCAGGAUUUCAAGAUAUGCAAAAAGUAGAAAAUUCCCAGCCUUUAAGUUCCUGCUGCUCAGCUCCUGACAUUGCUGCUGGAUGCUUCAGGUGUUAAUGUACAGCUGGCUUCAUUCACAAGCCUCAACGCAUUCUGUAACGUAACGGGGCCGGAUUCAGAUCUGGUGCAAACCGCUGAGGCUCCAUUCACACUACAUGGAGCUCAGCCUUCUCAUUAGUGUCUCCUUCUACGGAAAGCCUUCAAAAUCUACAGCAGAUGGAAAAAAAAAACAAGAAGCUCCCUCCUACUCCUUCCAACUUCAACAAGCUGCGUUUUUUUUCAUUCAUAAGCACCGGGGCUAUUAAUAAAAUUUGCUGAAUGAGAAUGGUUAACCCCAAAAAGUGACACAUACCUUACGCUCUGCGAGCCAACAUGACAACAGUCAAAACAGAAGUGGGCCCUUUCAGUGCAUCAGCACGUAACGCUGUCUGCAGUUUGGAGAAAAAAUAUCAGACGACGUCCUAUCAGCUGCAGACAGAUGAGUCACUGGCAAGCUGGAGGCGAGCAGACCUAAAGUCACCUCCAGCCUGCAAAACACUUCCCGUCUUCAGUAAGAAGUGCUGGAGGAUUCCGUCAAUGAAGCGAAAUGCCUGGCAAGCAGAUGUGUGGUGUGAGCACACUGGGUUCCUGCCCUCUCCCAGGGCACUGGGGGUGGGGUGGUGAGGAGCAGGGGUCAAAGGGAAGGUGGGUUUCUCCUGCAAGAUUUGUCCCUGAGCACAAGAAUGCAAAGCCUGCCCUACUAGAGGAAGACAGUGGAUGAUACACAAAUGUUUUGGGCUGGAAAGUGAGAAAGACUUGGUCUGGUUGGGUUUCUUUCUCUGAUCUCAUCAAGCAACACGGAGCACAAGAGGAGAAACUGAGGGAACUGGCAUUGUUCAGUCUGGAGAAGAGGAGGCUCAGGGGAGACCUUAUGGCUCUCUACAGCUCCCUGAAAGGAGGUUGCAG
This 1184-nucleotide long non-coding RNA is filed under the name Gallus gallus (chicken). RNAcentral describes it as "lncRNA (ENSGALG00010015598.1)". The record is from RNAcentral. Lineage: Eukaryota; Metazoa; Chordata; Aves; Galliformes; Phasianidae.